Molecule: transfer RNA, 84 nt
Filed under: Rickettsiales bacterium
Lineage: Bacteria; Pseudomonadati; Pseudomonadota; Alphaproteobacteria; Rickettsiales
Description: tRNA-Leu
Rfam family: tRNA
About the family: Transfer RNA (tRNA) molecules are approximately 80 nucleotides in length. Their secondary structure includes four short double-helical elements and three loops (D, anti-codon, and T loops).
Source: RNAcentral
GCCUCUGUGGCGGAAUUGGUAGACGCGGCAGACUCAAAAUCUGUUGUCCCUAGGACAUGCUGGUUCGAUUCCAGUCAGAGGCAC